ACUUCGGGCUUUAUUUGCGCAGGAUAGGUGGGAGGCUUUGAUCAUAUUUUUGCGGAAUUAUGUGAGCCGUUGGUGAGAUACCACUCUUGUAAAGCUAGAAUUCUAACCUUGUAUCGUAAGCAGGUCAGGGAACAGUUUCAGGUGGGCAGUCUGACUGGGGCGGUCGCCUCCUAAAAGGUAACGGAGGCGCACAAAGGUUUCCUCAUAUCGGUCAGAAAUCGAUAGUAGAGCGUAAAGGCAUAAGGAAGCUUGACUGCGAGACCUACAAGUCGAGCAGAGACGAAAGUCGGUCUUAGUGAUCUGACGGUUCCGAGUGGAAGGGCCGUCACUCAACGGAUAAAAGUUACUCUAGGGAUAACAGGCUGAA
Molecule: ribosomal RNA, 367 nt
Filed under: uncultured eukaryote
Lineage: Eukaryota
Description: LSU rRNA
Rfam family: Bacterial large subunit ribosomal RNA
Source: RNAcentral